GGAGCCUGAAAAUGAAACUCAACCUUUUAUAUUUGCAUAAAAAUGACUCUUCAGCACUUCACUUGGAAAGAAACACCACGGAGCCCGAGUUAAUGUUUUUAGCCCAGCUCCAAAGAGGCAGAGGAGGCCAAUUAUAGCUGUCGAAGGCAAGCUGGACUUGGUCUUUGCAGGUAAUAAGAUCUGCCUGACACUCCCCAUCUGCACCUUCCUAGCGCCAGUUGCUAUCAGAUUACAGUUCCCAUAAAGAAAUUAAAGAAAAAUCAAAUCCUGAACCAUAUGUAGAUUCAGCUCCCUGGUGUUAUCUACCUUUGCCUUUGCCCUCAUGCCCAUUCAGAGAAAGGGUACAUGUGA
This 351-nucleotide long non-coding RNA is filed under the name Mustela putorius furo (domestic ferret). RNAcentral describes it as "lncRNA (ENSMPUG00000025725.1)". Lineage: Eukaryota; Metazoa; Chordata; Mammalia; Carnivora; Mustelidae. The record is from RNAcentral.